Scaptodrosophila lebanonensis is the source of this 430-nucleotide long non-coding RNA. RefSeq lists it as uncharacterized. The record is from RefSeq and is a predicted model, not a curated record. NCBI's taxonomy places the organism in Eukaryota, Metazoa, Arthropoda, Insecta, Diptera, Drosophilidae. The transcript is spliced from 3 exons.
AACACGUAUGUUUUUAUUUUGCCUUUUUAUCUUAUGGAUAAAACUGCAUUGAUUUCAGACAAAAUGUCAUACGAAGGGCUAAGAUUGAGGAAGGCUUUAGAUCCGUGAGUUUUUUCCAAGCACUCUGUAACUCACCGUAAUUUGUGCGUACUAAGAAUUAAUUCAUGAAAGAUCAUUUCCAUGCCAUAAACCAUAAUGCGGCUAUGAUUUCGGAUGAACUGGGUCUGGGAGCAGAUAGCCCAGACUACACGCCAAAUUUAUAUGAACGGACAAAUGGUGGACAUGUCUAUAUCUAAUCGUCUCAUCAUGCAGAUCAUAUAUUUGCUGGAAACCAAAUUAAAAUCCGAGAACUACAACGCUGGAAAAAUAAAUCACCAAAUAUUCCCAGCAAAGAGGGGAUCCUCUUCUUUGUAAAUGCUACGGAGUGGGG